GUUGAUAGAGGCGCGACGCGAAUCAGUAUCGGCUCGAGGGGACACCCUGGGACAGCUCGAAAAAGGUCAAGUCGCCGAAACGAUGAUUCCGGUAGGGAUCACCAGUUGGGCAUGGAAAGAAUAUUUCCAUGACUCCUGCUUCUGAAAACGAAGUGGAGGAGCUA
Molecule: non-coding RNA, 164 nt
Filed under: chicken gut metagenome
Description: Lysine riboswitch
Rfam family: Lysine riboswitch aptamer
About the family: Riboswitches are metabolite binding domains within certain messenger RNAs that serve as precision sensors for their corresponding targets. Allosteric rearrangement of mRNA structure is mediated by ligand binding, and this results in modulation of gene expression. This family includes riboswitches that sense lysine in a number of genes involved in lysine metabolism, including lysC.
Source: RNAcentral